AGCCUGAGAGACCCACGGAGGCUUCGCGGGGAGACGCGGCGGCGGCGGCGGAGGAUGAGCCUGCAGAGCGCGCAGUACCUCCGGCAGGCAGAAGUCCUGAAGGCUGACAUGACAGAUUCUAAGCUGGGUCCAGCUGAAGUCUGGACAUCCAGGCAGGCUCUGCAGGACCUGUACCAGAAAAUGCUAGUUACUGAUUUGGAAUACGCUUUAGACAAGAAAGUAGAACAGGAUCUGUAAGUAUUACUUAUGAUUUGGGAAGUCCCUGUAAGAUCAAGAAUUUCACCAAGACUUUAAAACAGUUUGGUUCGUUAUUUAUUUUUCAACCUAU
Molecule: small RNA, 328 nt
Filed under: Pongo abelii (Sumatran orangutan)
Lineage: Eukaryota; Metazoa; Chordata; Mammalia; Primates; Hominidae
Description: retained intron
Source: RNAcentral